This 73-nucleotide transfer RNA is filed under the name Ochotona princeps (American pika). RNAcentral's name for it is "tRNA-Ala (AGC) (tRNA-Ala-AGC-8-1)". It matches the Rfam family "tRNA". From Rfam's summary of the family: Transfer RNA (tRNA) molecules are approximately 80 nucleotides in length. Their secondary structure includes four short double-helical elements and three loops (D, anti-codon, and T loops). Lineage: Eukaryota; Metazoa; Chordata; Mammalia; Lagomorpha; Ochotonidae. The record is from RNAcentral.
GGGGAAUUGGCUCAGGUGGUAGAGCGCUCGCUUAGCAUGCGCGAGGUGGUGGGAUCAAUACCCACAUUCUCCA